GACGAACGCUGGCGGCGUGCUUAACACAUGCAAGUCGAACGGAAAGGCCCUGCUUUUGUGGGGUGCUCGAGUGGCGAACGGGUGAGUAACACGUGAGUAACCUGCCCUUGACUUUGGGAUAACUUCAGGAAACUGGGGCUAAUACCGGAUAGGAGCUCCUGCUGCAUGGUGGGGGUUGGAAAGUUUCGGCGGUUGGGGAUGGACUCGCGGCUUAUCAGCUUGUUGGUGGGGUAGUGGCUUACCAAGGCUUUGACGGGUAGCCGGCCUGGGAGGGUGACCGGCCACAUGGGGACUGAGAGACGGCCCAGACUCCUACGGGAGGCAGCAGGGGGGAAUAUUGCACAAUGGGCGGAAGCCUGAUGCAGCAACGCCGCGUGCGGGAUGACGGCCUUCGGGUUGUAAACCGCUUUCGCCUGUGACGAAGCGUGAGUGACGGUAAUGGGUAAAGAAGCACCGGCUAACUACGUG
Molecule: ribosomal RNA, 468 nt
Filed under: uncultured bacterium
Lineage: Bacteria
Description: partial 16S ribosomal RNA
Rfam family: Bacterial small subunit ribosomal RNA
Source: RNAcentral